UUCACGCAUACAUGGUGGAGCAGGACGUUCAAGAACCAAACGAUGGCCCAAAGUAUGGUACAACAACCUGACAAGUUUCUGCACCGACUUGUUUCCGUCGCCUAGGAAUGCAGACGCAGGUGCCACUGAUGGCAGUGAGCGAGGGCGCCUCCUGGGCAGCCGGACGAGCCCUACUCAUAAUCACAAUUGACAG
Molecule: long non-coding RNA, 193 nt
Organism: Ornithodoros turicata
Lineage: Eukaryota; Metazoa; Arthropoda; Arachnida; Ixodida; Argasidae
Exons: 3
Source: RefSeq, a predicted model, not a curated record